GGGUAAUCUUGUGAAACUUCAUCGUGAUGGGGAUAGAGCAUUGCAACUAUUGCUCUUCAACGAGGAAUCCCUAGUAAGCGUGAGUCAUCAGCUCACGUUGAUUACGUCCCUGCCCUUUGUACACACCACCCGUCGCUACUACCGAUUGAAUGGCUUAGUGAGACCCUCGGAUCGACGCGUGGAAACCUUCACGGGUAUCUACUUGUUGAGAAGUUGGUCAAACUUGGUCAUUUAGAGGAAGUAAAAGUCGUAACAAGGUUUCCGUAGGUGAACCUGCGGAAGGAUCAUU
This 289-nucleotide ribosomal RNA is filed under the name Dentiscutata heterogama. Its description in RNAcentral is "partial 18S ribosomal RNA". It matches the Rfam family "Eukaryotic small subunit ribosomal RNA", at positions 1544 to 1830 of the family's 1831-position model. The record is from RNAcentral. Lineage: Eukaryota; Fungi; Glomeromycota; Glomeromycetes; Diversisporales; Gigasporaceae.